RNAcentral lists this ribosomal RNA (1199 nucleotides) under uncultured marine diplonemid. RNAcentral describes it as "SSU rRNA". It matches the Rfam family "Eukaryotic small subunit ribosomal RNA", at positions 570 to 1574 of the family's 1831-position model. The record is from RNAcentral. Lineage: Eukaryota; Euglenozoa; Diplonemea.
GCACCCGCGGUAAUUCCAGCACCAAUAGCGUAUAUUAAUGCUGCUGCUGUUAAAAAGCUCGUAGUUGGAUCAAGAGUUCGACAGUGCACGGUGGCCCUGUUUGCCAUGGUGGUUCCGAUCACCAGGGCGGCAGCGGAUCAACCCCAUGCGCCAAACUGUCGACUCUAACAGACCGAAACGGUUCCCUGCGAGUAGGCUCCUUCAUUGGGGUUGAAAGCGCUUACGCAUCAACCAUAUGCAUACGGGACGUCGGUCAAAGUUACUGUGAACAAACCAGCGUGUCCAAAACAGGCUUUCGCCUGAAUGUUCGAGCAUGGAAUAACAAGGGAUCGAUUCUCUCGGUUCUUUUUGUUGGUUUUUAACCCGAGAAGGAGUAAUUCAGGCCACGGUGUCUGAGUUGGGUUCCCCUUCACCUCGGUGGAGGCCCCAAUUAGGCCGUGUCCUUACGGGAUCAAUAGGGACUGACGGGGUCGUACGUACUUCUACGUCAGAGGUGAAAUUCUUAGAUCGUAGGAAGACGAACUUCUGCGAAAGCAAUCGACAAGAAUGUCUUCAUUAAUCAAGAACGAGAGUGUGGGGAUCGAAGAUGAUCAGAUACCGUCGUAGUCCACUACUGUAAACAAUGCCGUCUCAGGAUUGAGAAGCGAACAGAAUGACUUUCACAGCACUAACCCCUGAAACGAGAAAUCAAAGAUUAUGGGUUCAGGGGGGAGUACAUUCGCAAGGCUGAAACUUAAAGGAAUUGACGGAAUGACACCACAAGGCGUGGAGUAUGCGGCUUAAUUUGACUCAACACGGGGAAUUUUACUAGGUCAGGACAAUGUAAGGAUUGACAGAUUGAGAGCUCUUUCUCGAUCCAUUGUGUGGUGGUGCAUGGCCGCUCCUGGUUGGUGGAGUGAUUUGUCUGGUUGAUUCCGUUAACGAACGAGAUCUCGACCCUUAAAUAGGUGCCCGUGUCGAAUGUAGUUUCGCCUCCGCGUACUUGUACGAUUGGAGCGGGACGAGACUGCGGGAAUACUUCUUAAGGGGACUGUGUGCGUCUCUAGCACGCGGAAGAGCGAGCCAAUAGCAGGUCUGUGAUGCUCCUAAAUGUCCUAGGCUGCACGCGGAGUACACUGAUGCAAUAAACGAGUCUGAGUGCCUUCUGGCAACCUACCUGGAAGCGGGUGGGAAAUCUUUUGAGCUUGCAUCGUGAUGAG